This 459-nucleotide ribosomal RNA is filed under the name uncultured bacterium. RNAcentral's name for it is "partial 16S ribosomal RNA". It matches the Rfam family "Bacterial small subunit ribosomal RNA", at positions 338 to 795 of the family's 1533-position model. The record is from RNAcentral.
CCUACGGUGUGCAGCAGUGAGGAAUAUUGGUCAAUGGUCGGGAGACUGAACCAGCCAAGCCGCGUGAGGGAGGAAGGUACAGAGUAUCGUAAACCUCUUUUGUCAGGGAACAAAGACUGGGACGCGUCCCCGGAUGAGUGUACCUGAAGAAAAAGCAUCGGCUAACUCCGUGCCAGCAGCCGCGGUAAUCCGGAGGAUGCGCGCGUUAUCGGGAUUUAUUGGGUGUAAGGGGGGCGCAGGCGGUCUGUUAAGUCAGCGGUAAAAGCCCGGGGCUCAACCCGGGCCCGCCGUUGAGACUGGCAGUCUCGAGUUGGAGAGAAGUAUGCGGAAUGCGCGGUGUAGCGGUGAAAUGCAUAGAUAUCGCGCAGAACUCCGAUUGCGAAGGCAGCAUGCCGGCUCCACACUGACGCUGAGGCACGAAAGCGUGGGUAUCGAACAGGAUUAGAUACCCCAGUAGUC